This 492-nucleotide ribosomal RNA is filed under the name uncultured bacterium. RNAcentral describes it as "partial 16S ribosomal RNA". It matches the Rfam family "Bacterial small subunit ribosomal RNA", at positions 29 to 507 of the family's 1533-position model. The record is from RNAcentral.
AGUGAACGCUGGCGGUAGGCCUAACACAUGCAAGUCGAACGGCAGCACAGUAAGAGCUUGCUCUUACGGGUGGCGAGUGGCGGACGGGUGCGGAAUACAUCGGAAUCUACUUUUUCGUGGGGGAUAACGUAGGGAAACUUACGCUAAUACCGCAUACGACCUACGGGUGAAAGCAGGGGAUCUUCGGACCUUGCGCGAUUGUAUGAGCCGAUGUCGGAUUAGCUAGUUGGCGGGGUAAAGGCCCACCAAGGCGACGAUCCGUAGCUGGUCUGAGAGGAUGAUCAGCCACACUGGAACUGAGACACGGUCCAGACUCCUACGGGAGGCAGCAGUGGGGAAUAUUGGACAAAGGGCGCAAGCCUGAUCCAGCCAUACCGCGUGGGUGAAGAAGGCCUUCGGGUUGUAAAGCCCUUUUGUUGGGAAAGAAAAGCAGCAGGUUAAUACCCCGCUGUUCUGACGGUACCAAAAGAAUAAGCACCGGCUAACUUCGUG